GAUGAACGCUGGCGGCGCGCCUAAUACAUGCAAGUCGAGCGAACGGACGAGAAGCUUGCUUCUCUGAUGUUAGCGGCGGACGGGUGAGUAACACGUGGAUAACCUACCUAUAAGACUGGGAUAACUUCGGGAAACCGGAGCUAAUACCGGAUGAUAUUUUGAACCGCAUGGUUCAAAAGUGAAAGACGGUCUUGCUGUCACUUAUAGAUGGAUCCGCGCUGCAUUAGCUAGUUGGUAAGGUAACGGCUUACCAAGGCAACGAUGCAUAGCCGACCUGAGAGGGUGAUCGGCCACACUGGAACUGAGACACGGUACAGACUCCUACGGGAGGCAGCAGUAGGGAAUCUUCCGCAAUGGGCGAAAGCCUGACGGAGCAACGCCGCGUGAGUGAUGAAGGUCUUCGGAUCGUAAAACUCUGUUAUUAGGGAAGAACAUAUGUGUAAGUAACUGUGCACAUCUUGACGGUACCUAAUCAGAAAGCCACGGCUAACUACGUG
Molecule: ribosomal RNA, 497 nt
Filed under: uncultured bacterium
Lineage: Bacteria
Description: partial 16S ribosomal RNA
Rfam family: Bacterial small subunit ribosomal RNA
Source: RNAcentral